GUAGUCCACGCCGUAAACGAUGGAUACUUGGUGUUGGAGGUUUUGACCCCUUCAGUGCCAAAGCUAACGCGUUAAGUAUCCCGCCUGGGAAGUACGGUCGCAAGAUUAAAACUCAAAGAAAUUGACGGGGGCCCGCACAAGCGGUGGAGCAUGUGGUUUAAUUCGAUGCAACGCGAAAAACCUUACCUGGCCUUGACAUGUACUGGAAGACUACCAGAAAUGGUGUCGCCUUCGGGCCGGUACACAGGUGCUGCAUGGCUGUCGUCAGCUCGUGUCGUGAGAUGUUGGGUUAAGUCCCGCAACGAGCGCAACCCUUAUUUCUAGUUGCCAGCAUUUAGUUGGGCACUCUAGAGAGACUGCCGACUUUAAGUCGGA
Molecule: ribosomal RNA, 375 nt
Filed under: uncultured bacterium
Lineage: Bacteria
Description: bacterial SSU rRNA
Rfam family: Bacterial small subunit ribosomal RNA
Source: RNAcentral